Molecule: ribosomal RNA, 492 nt
Filed under: uncultured bacterium
Lineage: Bacteria
Description: partial 16S ribosomal RNA
Rfam family: Bacterial small subunit ribosomal RNA
Source: RNAcentral
AGUGAACGCUGGCGGUAGGCCUAACACAUGCAAGUCGAACGGCAGCACAGUAAGAGCUUGCUCUUACGGGUGGCGAGUGGCGGACGGGUGAGGAAUACAUCGGAAUCUACUUUUUCGUGGGGGAUAACGUAGGGAAACUUACGCUAAUACCGCAUACGACCUACGGGUGAAAGCAGGGGAUCUUCGGACCUUGCGCGAUUGAAUGAGCCGAUGUCGGAUUAGGUAGUUGGCGGGGUAAAGGCCCACCAAGGCGACGGUCCGUAGCUGGUGUGAGAGGAUGAUCAGCCACACUGGAACUGAGACACGGUCCAGACUCCUACGGGAGGCAGCAGUGGGGAAUGUUGGACAAUGGGCGCAAGCCUGAUCCAGCCAUACCGCGUGGGUGAAGAAGGCCUUCGGGUUGUAAAGCCCUUUUGUUGGGAAAGAAAAGCAGCAGGUUAAUACCCCGCUGUUCUGACGGUACCCAAAGAAUAAGCACCGGCUAACUUCGUG